CCUUUGAUGACGACUGGCGCACGGGUGAGUAACGCGUAUCCAACCUUCCCAUAACUACGGGAUAACCCGUUGAAAGACGGCCUAAUACCGUAUGAUAUCGUUUGCUGACAUCAAAUAACGAUUAAAGGUUUAGCGGUUAUGGAUGGGGAUGCGUCUGAUUAGCUUGUUGGCGGGGUAACGGCCCACCAAGGCUACGAUCAGUAGGGGUUCUGAGAGGAAGGUCCCCCACAUUGGAACUGAGACACGGUCCAAACUCCUACGGGAGGCAGCAGGC
Molecule: ribosomal RNA, 274 nt
Filed under: uncultured Prevotella sp.
Lineage: Bacteria; Pseudomonadati; Bacteroidota; Bacteroidia; Bacteroidales; Prevotellaceae
Description: partial 16S ribosomal RNA
Rfam family: Bacterial small subunit ribosomal RNA
Source: RNAcentral